RNAcentral lists this ribosomal RNA (2785 nucleotides) under human gut metagenome. RNAcentral's name for it is "bacterial LSU rRNA". It matches the Rfam family "Bacterial large subunit ribosomal RNA". The record is from RNAcentral.
AGGGCGCACGGUGGAUGCCUUGGCAUUAAGAGCCGAAGAAGGACGUGACUAACGACGAUAUUCUAGGGGGAGCAGUAAGUACGCAUUGAUCCCUAGGUCUCCGAAUGGGGAAACCCACUAUGUUAUGCAUAGUAUCCGUAAGUGAAUACAUAGCUUACGCGAAGGUAACGCAGAGAACUGAAACAUCUAAGUACCUGCAGGAAGAGAAAGUAAAAACGAUUUCCUAAGUAGCGGCGAGCGAACGGGAAACAGGCCAAACCAAGAAGCUUGCUUCUUGGGGUUGUAGGACUGCAACGUGGACUUAAAGUCUAUAGAAGAAUUACCUGGGAAGGUAAGCCAAAGAGAGUAAUAGCCUCGUAUUUGAAAUAGACUUUAUACCUAGCAGUAUCCUGAGUAGGGCUGGACACGCGAAAUCCAGUUUGAAUCCGGGAGGACCAUCUCCCAAGCCUAAAUACUCCUUAAUGACCGAUAGUGAACCAGUACCGUGAGGGAAAGGUGAAAAGAACCCCGGGAGGGGAGUGAAAUAGCACCUGAAACCGUGUGCCUACAAGAAGUUCGAGCCCGUCAAUGGGUGAGAGCGUGCCUUUUGUAGAAUGAACCGGCGAGUUACGUUAUGAUGCGAGGUUAAGCUGAAGAGGCGGAGCCGUAGCGAAAGCGAGUCUGAAUAGGGCGCUUUAGUAUCAUGAUGUAGACCCGAAACCUAGUGACCUAUCCAUGAGCAGGUUGAAGGUGCGGUAAGACGCACUGGAGGACCGAACCAGGACACGUUGAAAAGUGUUUGGAUGACUUGUGGAUAGCGGAGAAAUUCCAAACGAACUGGGAGAUAGCUGGUUCUCUCCGAAAUAGCUUUAGGGCUAGCGUCGCAAUUUAAGUGUAUUGGAGGUAGAGCACUGUUUGGAUGAGGGGCCCAUCUCGGGUUACCAAUUUCAGAUAAACUCCGAAUGCUAAUACACAUGUGCGGCAGUCAGACUGCGAGUGCUAAGAUCCGUAGUCGAAAGGGAAACAGCCCAGACCACCAGCUAAGGUCCCAAAAUAUAUGUUAAGUGGAAAAGGAUGUGGGGUUGCACAGACAACUAGGAUGUUAGCUCAGAAGCAGCUAUCAUUCAAAGAGUGCGUAAUAGCUCACUAGUCGAGUGACCCUGCGCCGAAAAUGUACCGGGGCUAAACAUAUUACCGAAGCUGUGGAUUUAAUAUUAAUUAAAUGGUAGGAGAGCGUUGUAAUCAGCGAUGAAGGUAUACCGUGAGGGGUGCUGGAGCGAUUACAAGUGAGAAUGCCGGUAUGAGUAGCGCAAGAUAAGUGAGAAUCUUAUCCACCGUAAGACUAAGGUUUCCAGGGGAAGGCUCGUCCGCCCUGGGUUAGUCGGGACCUAAGGCGAGGCCGAAAGGCGUAGUCGAUGGACAACAGGUUGAUAUUCCUGUACUAGUAUUGUUAGUGAUGGAGGGACGCAGUAGGCUAAAGGGAGCCAGUUAAUGGAUUCUGGUCUAAGCAGUGAGGUGUGGAAUGUGUCAAAUGCAUUUUCCUUUAACAUUGAGCUGUGAUGGGGAAGCAACUACGGUUGCGAAGCCCUUGAUGUCACACUGCCAAGAAAAUCUUCUAGCGUUUAAUUCAAUACUACCCGUACCGCAAACCGACACAGGUAGUCGAGGCGAGUAGCCUCAGGUGAUCGAGAGAACUCUCGUUAAGGAACUCGGCAAAAUGACCCCGUAACUUCGGGAGAAGGGGUGCUGUAGAAAUACAGCCGCAGUGAAAAGAUCCAAGCAACUGUUUAUCAAAAACACAGCUCUCUGCUAAACCGCAAGGUGAUGUAUAGGGGGUGACGCCUGCCCGGUGCUGGAAGGUUAAGAGGAGGGGUUAGACAUUAGUCGAAGCUCUGAAUUGAAGCCCCAGUAAACGGCGGCCGUAACUAUAACGGUCCUAAGGUAGCGAAAUUCCUUGUCGGGUAAGUUCCGACCCGCACGAAAGGCGUAAUGAUUUGGAUACUGUCUCAACGAGAGACUCGGUGAAAUUUUAGUACCUGUGAAGAUGCAGGUUACCCGCGACAGGACGGAAAGACCCCAUGGAGCUUUACUGCAGAUUGAUAUUGAGUACCUGUGAAGCAUGUACAGGAUAGGUAGGAGACUUUGACCUUGGGACGCUAGUUUCAAGUGAGUCGCUGUUGGGAUACUACCCUUGCUUCAUGGUUGCUCUAACCCACACGCAUAAUCGGCGUGGGAGACAGUGUCUGUCGGGCAGUUUGACUGGGGCGGUCGCCUCCUAAAGAGUAACGGAGGCGCCCAAAGGUUCCCUCAACAUGGUUGGAAAUCAUGCGUAGAGUGUAAAGGUAUAAGGGAGCUUGACUGCGAGAGCUACAACUCGAGCAGGUACGAAAGUAGGGCUUAGUGAUCCGGUGGUUCCGCAUGGAAGGGCCAUCGCUCAACGGAUAAAAGCUACCCUGGGGAUAACAGGCUUAUCUCCCCCAAGAGUUCACAUCGACGGGGAGGUUUGGCACCUCGAUGUCGGCUCGUCGCAUCCUGGGGCUGUAGUCGGUCCCAAGGGUUGGGCUGUUCGCCCAUUAAAGCGGCACGCGAGCUGGGUUCAGAACGUCGUGAGACAGUUCGGUCCCUAUCCGUCGCGGGCGUAGGAAAUUUGAGAGGAUCUGCCCUUAGUACGAGAGGACCGGGGUGGACUUACCGCUGGUGUACCAGUUGUUCCGCCAGGAGCACCGCUGGGUAGCUAUGUAGGGAAGGGAUAAGCGCUGAAAGCAUCUAAGUGCGAAGCCCACCUCAAGAUGAGAUUUCCCAUUCU